GGUCGAUAAGCCAUCAUGGAUGAUGUCAAGUUCUUGUUUAUGUCAGAGAAUCAAAAGCAAGGGGUUUGGCGGUGUUCAUCGAUGGCAACCAGCAAACUGAAGAGCCCUGCUGAGAUAUUUCAUUACAAAAAUCCAUCGCGAGGUUAAAAAAUGGCGCAAGAAAUAUUGGCAAUAGCAAAAAACGAAUACAAAGCGGCCCGAUUCGGAUACACUCAGCGCGGCUACAUGAUGCUGCUCCAUAAUGGUUACGGAUUCAUCAAAGAUCGCCAAUCGUCCAAUACUUGUAAUUGGAAGUGCUCACUCUACCGGAGAUUGAAGUGUCGAGCACGAGCCAUCACCAAAACCAUCGACGGAAAACGACUGAUGAAGAUUACUCACGCGGAGCAUACCCACGACCGAUCCGAGUAUCGAGUAGAACUGUGAGCUCGUCGGUCGGGUUCGAAUGUUUGGUUAUUUUUUUCUGACACUAUUAUUGAAAAGUGAGAUAAAUAGAAUGCGCAGAAUUUAUUGCUCAUAAUGUGUUACGCAACACAACCAAAACUGUAACUGUAGUAGAAUAGGUUUUCUGAAUUCUUAAGUGUGUAUUCGAUUUGGUCGUUCUCGAAAAGCCAGAUUCAGAAUCCCAAUACCAAAUUCGAAGGCCGAAAAAGGUACAAAUUUAAAUAUUCAUUCAAAGUAGUGUUUUCGAAUCAAUCGUCGUAACCAACAGGUUAUAUUUACUCUAGUACCUCGUUAUUUUACAAUUACUUGAUUUUGUUUUUCAUUGUUUUACAGAAUACUUAUUGUAAUACUUAUUUGUCAUUAGAAUGUAGUACUAGAAUAGUAUCUAAAGAAACGUCCCUAAUCAACAAAGUACAUUCAAGAUAUGGUUCUCCAGCUAGCCUUGCGAUCAAAGGCAAGGGCCUGUCAAUCUGAAGAUAGCUUAGGGUGUUUUCAGGUAGGAAAAAUUCUCGAUUACCUGGAAAUACUGUAUCUAUUGAAUUUGCCACAAAAGAUAGAUAUUCAUGCAAUUGGUAGUCAUAGAGAAACCUGUUGGAAAUGUUAACAGAAAACCACUGAAGAAGAAGGGGGAUUCAAGAUGUUUUAAUAUGCGAUAUCUUUCCGGAUGAAACCCAACCACGAUAAGUGUUAUUGCGGACAAUAAAUGAAGCAAAAUACACAACAUACAUGCUUUUACAUUUAGUGAAGUACUUCACCUAAUACUGCAAUAUAAGAAUCCAACUGAUAACCCAUCGGGAUAGCAUGGUCGUGAAGUACACCCACAAGAGCCAUACGCACCCGAACGAGUACAGCGAUGAGUCGAAGAUCAACCGGAUAGAGAUCGAUAUCAAUGAGUUCUACAACAAACCUGUGGGUGGGGCUGCCUUUGAAGUGAAGAAAGAAACGGAGUAUUGUGCGUAAUUUGAAAUUAUCAUAUUUUGAAGGGGAUUUUGACAUCUAUUUCUCGUUGGAUAGUCUGUAAUUGGAUCGAAGUGCAAAUUUGCUUUUAUAAGCAAUACAUGAAGUGUCAAUUUUGUUAUCAAUUUUCAAUAAUUGUUCGAAAUGCUACAUUAAUUCAUUUUUAGUUCGAUUAUUUUUCAAAUUAAAUCGAUUAGAAAAAAAAGUAUUCAAUUUUAACCCAUCAUUUAUUACGUAUUGCACAUUGUUGUUGAAAAAAAAAACAAUUAUUGAAUGAUGUGAAACAACCUAACCGACUCUACGUAUGAAGCAAUAGAUAGGUAUACAAAGAGCUUUCAAUUAUUUUCCUAUUUUUUUUUCAACUGAGGAGAAUAAGUUUAUAUGUAUUCUAACCGCAUUUGUUUGCAUUUUGUUUUUUUUUCAGAACCUGAUAACAACCAGCACACGAGGAAACAGCAACUGCUACAAUAUCUGAAACCAUUCGAACGAACGCCCAAAUCGCCGGGCAAGCUGUCCGCUGUGGAUGGGUUUUCCUUUCCGGUUUACACCGCCGAUGAAGUCGAACGGCUGGAGGAAGCCGUACGAUCGAGCAGAAAAAUACGAUCCCAGUACGUGGCUUUUUUGGCCGAGCGGAAACCUCGCUACAUGGACAUCCCGGAGUGCUUUUCCAAGUUCUUCACCGACGAAGCGAUGACACCCUACGCGUGGCACGGGUGCAAGAAUCCACGGUUUCCACGUAGGGCGAUGAAAACGAUGGAUAUCUUCUCCGACUGUAUGCUAGAGGCCUGGAAGAAAUUUGGCGUUACUUCCUUCGAAGACCUUGCAGACGUUCUAUCAAAAGUGACGACGAAAAUCGCCGGUCGUCGUAGAUCUAACAACUACAAUCAACGGAAACGCAUUCAGCAAUUUUGCGACAAACAUAAUAAAUAGAAAGCAUUUUUCUCUAUCGGUUUUAUUUUUUAUGUUUGUUUCUUUUCUUUUCUGUCCCAAAGGUCUUUUGAUAAUGAAAAAGGUAAGAAAUAAGAAGUAAAUGAAUAAAUAGAUAAAAUCAAAAAACUUAUCGGCUUAUUUUUUCUAGUGAAGCACAAAUUUUUAUUUUUGGGAAAAUUUGAGUGUUAAAAAUGUCUGUCUCUAAAAUCAUUUUCAAAUAUUCAUUGGCCAAUCAUUAAAUUUUUCAGACACCAGGAGUGAUAAAAAGUUCAGACCAUUGUUUCCAAUAACAGAUCAAGAUAAACUACAAUAUGUUUACCGUGCCAUUUCUCAAAAUGUGAAUGAUGUCCCGGGAUCCAAGUUUCCCAUAUAAAACGAAUGUGAUAUCGAACGCUUGGAGGAAACUAUACGAAUUUCUUAUUCAGUACGGUGUAAGCUCGGGAUUGUGGUCAUGGUAUUGCAUACGAAUGCUAAUUUGAUUUCACAUCAUUUGCCAUAGAUCAAUCACCUUCAUCGUAUCAAACAGAUGGGUAAGACCUUACCGAUUGAAACUCUCUUCAAGUUUGUGUUCUAUGAUACGUCAAAUAAAAAACUGCAUCGAUGAUAUUGGUUUAUAAUUUAAUUCAUGUAACGCAACUUCUGUUUGAAAUUGAAGAAAAGUCUUUGAUAUAGUUUUAAAUUACUUACGGGAUAUUCACUCAUUUUUUUCAGAUCUACACUGCAAAGUAAAAAGGAGAUCCUUUUUAAUAAUUACAAAACAAGAGAAAUCCGAUCGUUUUAAACAAACUGAACAACAAUCAGUUCAACGUUCAAUUGCUCAAAAUGGAAAUGAAGUACCGGGAUUUAAAUUUCCCAUAGAAACCGAGAGUGACAUCGAGCGCCUGGAGAAAACUAUCCAAAGUUCACCUUCAAUACGGCAAAAAUACAUCAACCACCUUCGUCAAACCAAACGGAUGGGUAAGGAUCUACCGAUCGACGCCAUAUUCAAGUUGAUUUUUUACGACGAGGCCCUCAUCGGAUACAACUAUAAUGGAUACUGCAAUAGACGCCAUCAGAAGAAACAUGCGAUGAAAAAUUAUGCCAUUUUCUCAUCCUGUUUUUACGAGGCCUGGUUAGAGUUUGGAGUUACGGAGAAAGCUAUCCGUUUGAUGUUGUGCAAAGUAGUGCGCAAUGUACAUGGUCGCAACCGUUUUCGUCGUUACAAGGACCGUAUUCGCGAGCAGAAACUUUAUGAAACAGUUCAUGUAGAGGAUUCAGAUUCCGAAUAAAUUUUACUGACAAUAUUUUAUAUUUCCCUUCAUAAGUUGUCUGUGAACGUGGCCACUAAUGGAAUCUUAUUCCGUUGGCGUCGUAUAUACCAUUCGGAACAAUUCCCUCAUACGGCUUAGAGUUUACAUUAGUCAAGAAUAUUAAAUUUUAAGAUAACUGCGAAGAAAACCAAAUCGAUCUUCUAAAAAAUUACCAGCUGUGUCGCGUGCAGCAACGUACAUCUUUAAAUCAUAGCCGCAUAAUCUAGUACUUCCUUAACGCGUUCCUUUUUUGGCUUUUCAGCGAUCUUUUUGGACCAAUUUCAAUCACAUUCAGACCACACGUCGCCACAGUUUAGCUUCAAAACAUCCCAGCGAAGCGGUCGUCACUUGCUGGUGGUGAACGGGGUGACAUUCUUCCGAAAUCGGCAUCGUAACAACAAGCAGUACUGGAAGUGCAACCAGUACUACAAGUGUAAAUGUCCGUGCAUUGUGGUGAUUGACGAAGUAAACUCGCGAAUGAACGUAAAGCACGCCCAUAAUCACGAGUUAUCGGGCGUUUCCAGCAGUAAAAGUAGCAAUGAUUUACUUCCCGUGUCAGAUCCUCGUUUAUCGGCCUUCGCGGGAUCCUUACUAAACGAUACACUUCUCAGUAGAAGUAACAACGUGCUGGCUUCCAUAUCGUCUUUCGCUCAAACUGGGCAAUCUAGAUAUUAUGCGAACAAGAGGGAAUAAAAACAACUUAAGUUUGUUACACAAGGUGUCUACGAAAUUCGAGAUAUUGUCCGGCCGAGAUUUUUGCAGCAUACGGCGGAAAUGGAGUUGGCUCAAUUCGGAAUAAACCAAAGGGGCGGCAAAAAGCUGGUAUGCCACGGAUACGACUACGUGAAGGAUCGAGAUUUUCCAGAUUCGACAAACUGGCGCUGUGCGCUGUUUCGACGCCAGAAGUGCCGUGCUCGCGCCAUAACCAAGGUUAUCGAGGGCUACUCCUACGUCAGAUUGACAAACGAUGCUCACAAUCAUUAGGAUCUAAUGUAUCGUUUUGCGGUAGAUGUUCCAAGAAAAAUAUACGCAACAUUCAAUUGAUCCGCAUCACAGUUUAUAAUCUUUCUAGUCUCUUAAAUGUCCAAACAUCGAUUAGAAUAACACCGAACUGAUACUAUUUAUGUUUUUAGGUAUCUUCGAACCGGCAGUGUUCGGUACCACCCGUCGAGGGCAACAAAAACUGAUACACAACGGGCACGCGUACACCAAGGAUAGACAGUCGUCCAAGACGUGCAACUGGAAAUGCUCCCUGUUCACCCGGUACAAAUGCAAGGCCCGAGCCGUAACGCGUGACAUUAACGGGUUGAUACACGUGAAAGUCACCAACUCUUUGCACUAUCAUCCGGUGGAGCAGUACAAGAUCAGCUACCGUCGCUUGAGCGUCAAUUCGAUGACACUAUCGAAUAGUUUUAUGUCCAACGUUAAGGAACAGCCGUUUUGAGUCCGGUGUUUGUUUGCAAUAUUUUUGUCUAGCUAGUAAAGUAAAGCUAUAAGGAAGUCUCCGAUUCCUUGCACGAAGUAUGGAAAAUAUAAUUUUGCAAUCAAUCGCAAA
This is an RNA transcript of Armigeres subalbatus, 5172 nucleotides long. RefSeq lists it as uncharacterized. The record is from RefSeq and is a predicted model, not a curated record. Lineage: Eukaryota; Metazoa; Arthropoda; Insecta; Diptera; Culicidae. The transcript is spliced from 6 exons.